UAGGGANUCUUCGGCAAUGGGGGGAACCCUGACCGAGCAACGCCGCGUGAGUGAAGAAGGUUUUCGGAUCGUAAAGCUCUGUUGUUAAGGAAGAACGAGUGUGAGAAUGGAAAGUUCAUACUGUGACGGUACUUAACCAGAAAGGGAACGGUAACUAUACGUGCCAGCAGCCGCGGUAAUACGUACGUCCCGAGCGUUGUCCGGAUUUAUUGGGCGUAAANGAGCCGCAGGCGGUUAGAUAAGUCUGAAGUUAAAGGCAGUGGCUCAACCAUUGUAGGCUUUGGAAACUGUUUAACUUGAGUGCAGAAGGGGAGAGUGGAAUUCCAUGUGUUGUGAANGGAGNCAUAGAUGAAUAUGGAAGAACCGGUGGCCAAAGCGGCUCUCUGGUCUGUAACUGACGCUGAGGCUCGAAAGCGUGGGGAGCGAACAGGAUUAGAUACCCUGGUAGUCCACGCCGUAAACGAUGAGUGCUAGGUGUUAGGUCCUUUCCGGGACUUAGUGCCGCAGCUAACGCAUUANCACUCCGCCUGGGGAGUACGACCGCAGGUU
This 549-nucleotide ribosomal RNA is filed under the name uncultured bacterium. RNAcentral describes it as "bacterial SSU rRNA". It matches the Rfam family "Bacterial small subunit ribosomal RNA", at positions 355 to 895 of the family's 1533-position model. The record is from RNAcentral.